CUGCGGAAGGAUCAUUACUGAAAUGAACCUUGAGGCUGUCGCUGGCCCAUCUGGGCAUGUGCACGUCUCUGGUCAUUACCAAUUCCACCUGUGCACACUUGUAGACACUUGGGAAUGAGAGACUUUGACCAGUCUCUUGAGAGAAUUGAAAUCUGGGUGUCUAUGCCAUUUUACCAAACACUAGUUGCAUGUUCAUAGAAUGAUUAUUUGAUUGAAUAUAAAUACAACUUUCAACAACGGAUCUCUUGGCUCUCGCAUCGAUGAAGAACGCAGCGAAAUGCGAUAAGUAAUGUGAAUUGCAGAAUUCAGUGAAUCAUCGAAUCUUUGAACGCACCUUGCGCUCCUUGGCAUUCCGAGGAGCAUGCCUGUUUGAGUGUCAUUAACACCUCAAGACCUGUCUGCUUUUGAUAGGUAUUGGAUUUUGGGAGUUGCAGGCUGUUUCAGAUAUAGCUUGCUCUCCUUGAAUGUAUUAGUGGAGAAAAGCUGUUGAACUCCAUUGGUGUGAUAAAAUCUAUCAAUGCCAGGAGCAACAUCAAGUGGUCUCUGCUGUCUAACCCUAACUGUCUGACUCACUUGACCUCAAAUCAGGUAGGACUACCCGCUGAACUUAAGCAUAUCAAU
RNAcentral lists this ribosomal RNA (621 nucleotides) under Amanita pallidorosea. Its description in RNAcentral is "eukaryotic LSU rRNA". The stretch from base 226 to 379 matches the Rfam family "5.8S ribosomal RNA". Lineage: Eukaryota; Fungi; Basidiomycota; Agaricomycetes; Agaricales; Amanitaceae. The record is from RNAcentral.